CUCUGAGGUGAGCUGGCUUCAUCGUGAACACAAAAGCAACUGGUGAGAAUUUAAAUCAGCAGAGGAACACAGAGCAACAACAAAACAAAAGAGAAACAACUAGAAGUGAAGAGGCACUUGGAAACCAAAAAGAUAAAACACCUGAAAUGGACCAUUGCAGCAGUUUGAAAUGGGCCCUAAUAGGUGGCGCCGUUGGCAUUGGGAUCGGUGCUGGGCUAUCCAUUGCCGUUUUCUUGAUAUACAGAUGCAUGACAGGUAACAAAUCAAAGGAGGGAAGAGUGGAUGAGCGAGAGCCACUGAUUACCAACCUGAAUGAAGCCAAAAGGGAACUGGAGAACCAGAAACAUCAACUUGCAGGACAACUCAAACGAGUCGAGUCUGAAAUAGAGGAAAACAAAAAGCAACUUCAGUCAGUGGAGAAUGAAAUAGAGAGAUUGAGCUCUGAUGGCAAAGAUACUUUAUUAACACAUAAAAAAGGACUGUUACAGUCCCAGUGGAAAUUAGAUGAGAAAAAGAAACAUUUGAAAAGACAGCUACUGAACAUAGAGAAAGCUCUAGAACCCAUAGAGAUUUAGAUGACAAGGGGAAUUAACAAUUAAUGAGUAUCCUUAGAUCGCAACACAGUAACAAACCAAGACAAACUGAACUAGAAUUGUUUGAGAGAAAUAUCCAGUUUAUAAUUACAGCCAGACUGGUGAAUCAGCAGGUUUUUAGUAGCUGAAAAGUAAAGGCAUUCACAUUCACAUUUAUGCAAAUGAAUCUAUGAUUUCCUCAAUAAAGCCAGUUUUG
Molecule: long non-coding RNA, 789 nt
Organism: Girardinichthys multiradiatus
Lineage: Eukaryota; Metazoa; Chordata; Actinopteri; Cyprinodontiformes; Goodeidae
Exons: 4
Source: RefSeq, a predicted model, not a curated record